AGUGAACGCUGGCGGUAGGCCUAACACAUGCAAGUCGAACGGCAGCACAGUAAGAGCUUGCUCUUACGGGUGGCGAGUGGCGGACGGGUGAGGAAUACAUCGGAAUCUACUUUUUCGUGGGGGAUAACGUAGGGAAACUUACGCUAAUACCGCAUACGACCUACGGGUGAAAGCAGGGGAUCUUCGGACCUUGCGCGAUUGAAUGAGCCGAUGUCGGAUUAGCUAGUUGGCGGGGUAAAGGCCCACCAAGGCGACAAUCCGUAGCUGGUCUGAGAGGAUGAUCAGCCACACUGGAACUGAGACACGGUCCAGACUCCUACGGGAGGCAGCAGUGGGGAAUACUGGACAAUGGGCGCAAGCCUGAUCCAGCCAUACCGCGUGGGUGAAGAAGGCCUUCGGGUUGUAAAGCCCUUUUGUUGGGAAAGAAAAGCAGCAGGUUAAUACCCCGCUGUUCUGACGGUACCCAAAGAAUAAGCACCGGCUAACUUCGUG
This 492-nucleotide ribosomal RNA is filed under the name uncultured bacterium. RNAcentral describes it as "partial 16S ribosomal RNA". It matches the Rfam family "Bacterial small subunit ribosomal RNA", at positions 29 to 507 of the family's 1533-position model. The record is from RNAcentral.